GAUGAACGCUAGCUACAGGCUUAACACAUGCAAGUCGAGGGGUAACAAGAGGAAAGCUUGCUUUUCUUGUUGACGACCGGCGCACGGGUGAGUAACGCGUAUCCAACCUGCCUAUAACUAGGGAAUAACCUUGCGAAAGUAAGACUAAUACCCUAUGAUUUCCUUUGAUGACAUCAGAUUAGGAAUAAAGAUUUAUCGGUUAUAGAUGGGGAUGCGUCUGAUUCGCUUGUUGGCGGGGUAACGGCCCACCAAGGCCACGAUCAGUAGGGGUUAUGAGAGGAAGGUCCCCCACCAUGGGAAUGAAACACGGUCCAAACUCCUACGGGAGGCCGGAGUGAGGAAUAUUGGUCAAUGGGCGGAAGACUGAACCAGCCAUGUAGCGUGCAGGAUGACGGCCCUAUGGGUUGUAAACUGCUUUUAUACAGGAAUAAAGUUAGCCACGUGUGGUUAUUUGUAGGUACUGUAUGAAUAAGGACCGGCUAAUUCCGUGCCAGCCGCCGCCGUAA
This 506-nucleotide ribosomal RNA is filed under the name uncultured bacterium. RNAcentral's name for it is "partial 16S ribosomal RNA". It matches the Rfam family "Bacterial small subunit ribosomal RNA", at positions 28 to 523 of the family's 1533-position model. The record is from RNAcentral.